UAAGUCAAUGAAGUUAUAUUGGUUUAUUUUUACAAGUAUAAACAUUGUAAGGACGUUGAUUGUGCGUCCCUUUUAUUGCGACAGUUGGGAUUGACGCAUGCUAGUGUAGUGCUUUAAGCAUUACGCGUAAAGGGUAGGAAUGCAUGAGAGUAAGCUAAAGUAAUUAUGUUUAAAAUACAAAAAAAAUCAAAGAUUCUUUAGAGGUUUCAUGGACGAUUAGGUUGUAUCACAUAAAAUGUGGUAGCCGAUUAUCGUUAACUGCAUUGAGAGGUAGAGCAGUACCAGCUGUGUAGUAAGCACAGCCGAUCAUUUGAUUGCAGCAGCGCAAAACAUUUGCCAAUGAGCGAAAGCUUGAGCGAACCAAACUGGUAAGGGAGUGAAGGAGAAUUCUGUAAACCUUUAAUGCUAGGGAAUAACUAGAGCGUACCUAGAGAGAAGAACGGACUAAUGCUGGUGCCAGAAGUCUCGGUUAGGCCAGUCGUUCGAGCAAUAAAGAUCAUGAUUGGGCGUAAAGCGUUCUUCGGCGGUGCUCUUUUGUCUACUACGUAGGCUCUGGAACAACUCGUUUGACAGCGACUAAUAGAAUUGAAAAGUCACCGAUAAAAUGGGAAUAAUUUUUUAGGAAUAUCACUUGCGAAGGCAAUUAGUUGGGUCAAAACAGUAGCUUAGGAACGAAGGGAUGGGGAUCAAAUACCAUUAGAUACGGUAGUAGUCCAUUCAGUCAACGAUGGCUUUUAUGUCUUGGCCUUUGGCCUUGAAUAAGCAAACGCGGAAAAAGCCCGCCUCAAUAGUACGAGCGCAAGCUUAAAAUUGAAACAAUUAAUGCGUGGAGAUUCAAUAUGGUGGAACAUGCGAUUUAAUUCGUCGCUACGCGCUAACCUUACGCGGUCUUGAUUAAUUACAAUAGCUUAGUUUGUAAACAAAACUGAGUAUGUAGUUAUAGCUUUGCAUGGUCGUGGUCAGCUCGUUUUUUGUAAAGUUGGGUUAAUUCCAUAAACGAGCGAAACGCGCAUGUUUAUAUUAACUAAUUUCAGUUAAGCCUGAAAUGUACCUAUAAACCACAGCGAAAGAAAUUUUCGAGGAAGAGCGCAUCAUCACAGAUCCUCAUGAAGUUCAUGAUCGCGGCUAUACGCGUGUUACAAUUGAUAAACCAAACAGUAGCAAUUAUGCAAAUAAGUGCAAACCUGUAAACCUUAUCUAAACGGAUUGCAUUCUGCAACUCGAAUGUAUGAAGUAGGAAUCAUAAGUAAUCGUUUUAAAGAAUUGAAACGGUGAAAUUUGUUCAUCUCCGGCUAUUAAUAGCCCGUCAAUGCCUGGUUAACGGGUGUACAGGAAAAGUGUAGAUUGUAUAACUACAUUUGAUUGUAUAUUUGGCAGCCGGGCAUAAGUCGUAACACAGUAAUCGUACCGGAAGGUGCGGUUGGCGCCAUUUUUUAGUUUUUCGCCUACUGUUCCUUGUUUUUUUUGUAAAGGCAAAAAAACAGCCAAACACAAGAGAGAUGGUGAAAACGAAGUAUAGUAAUUUGAUUUUAUUAUCAAUGCUAAUUUUU
This 1550-nucleotide ribosomal RNA is filed under the name Ulva compressa. RNAcentral's name for it is "23S ribosomal RNA". The stretch from base 44 to 1436 matches the Rfam family "Bacterial small subunit ribosomal RNA". Lineage: Eukaryota; Viridiplantae; Chlorophyta; Ulvophyceae; Ulvales; Ulvaceae. The record is from RNAcentral.